RNAcentral lists this ribosomal RNA (252 nucleotides) under uncultured bacterium. Its description in RNAcentral is "partial 16S ribosomal RNA". It matches the Rfam family "Bacterial small subunit ribosomal RNA", at positions 524 to 776 of the family's 1533-position model. The record is from RNAcentral.
UACGGAGGAUGCGAGCGUUAUCCGGAUUUAUUGGGUUUAAAGGGUGCGUAGGCGGACGCUUAAGUCAGCGGUAAAAUUGCGGGGCUUAACCUCGUCGAGCCGUUGAAACUGGGUGCCUUGAGUGGGCGAGAAGUACGCGGAAUGCGUGGUGUAGCGGUGAAAUGCAUAGAUAUCACGCAGAACUCCGAUUGCGAAGGCAGCAUACCGGCGCCCGACUGACGCUGAAGCACGAAAGCGUGGGGAGCAAACAGG